UCUGAAUCAUUAUAUGUAAAUGAAACUAAAUUAAAUAUACUUUGGUAAAUAUAUACUUGCCAAAUACUUUUCCAGUGGUUACUUUAAAACAUUUUUUGGAACAAGUGGAAUUAUUGAAGACUGGAGUAUGCCUCAUAUCAGGGGACUUUAACUGCAUUUUGGACCCCUUUUUGGAUAAAAAGCUUGCUAACAACACAAGCAUGAAUAGUUCGGUAGUUA
This is a non-coding RNA of Pelobates cultripes (western spadefoot toad), 219 nucleotides long. NCBI's taxonomy places the organism in Eukaryota, Metazoa, Chordata, Amphibia, Anura, Pelobatidae. The record is from the annotation of a GenBank genome assembly.